AAAAGCUUAACCGUUUGGAGACACCUACCAAGCCGAUGAGAGUGGAGCCACGUUCGAAGAACUAAUCGGAUGAGGAGAGCUAUAUAGUUAAUAGGGGUUGAGAUCCCUAAUCAAACACCUACAAUCUUGGUUGAAGGGAUCAUCCCAACUUUAAAUGGGGAGGCAACCAAGGAGGAUAAAAUCAAGCACAAACUUGACAAAAUCCUCCUUACCAGCCUCCGCCAUUGCAAUAAUGAUAUGUAGGAAAUGACCAUGUUGAAUUUGGUUAAAG
This 271-nucleotide long non-coding RNA is filed under the name Gossypium barbadense (sea-island cotton). RNAcentral's name for it is "long non-coding RNA (GBAR_LNC005303)". The record is from RNAcentral. Lineage: Eukaryota; Viridiplantae; Streptophyta; Magnoliopsida; Malvales; Malvaceae.